UGGAAUAUAUUAACAUAGUUUUUUAUUCUUAUUUUCUCAGUUUUUCACCACAUCCUGUUUUACAACGUUCUUUGGAUUUCUGAAUGAUAUUCUACAAGUAUUCUGCCUUUCGAAUAAUUUAUUUUUAAACCGUUCCAGUAAGUUAUCCAGAUACUUGACUGUCAGGACUGGGAUAAAGAAUACGAGAAUUUUAACAAAAAUUUCAAAAUCAAUCAUGAAUUUUGAAGUUGCAAGAAAACUGCAAGGCCAGAAGCGUUUUGAGAGGAAGUUGUAACUUCACUUUGACGAAGAUUGACAACUUCUCGAUAAGCCUAUGUUUUGCAGAUGAAAAAUUAAUUAAAAACCGCAACUGAGUUGACUGGUUUUGGCCAAACGGAAACUAUUUCAUCCUAUUGGUUUUCACUUUUGAUGAAAUUUGGUUUUUCCUCAUUGCAAAACAAUAUGGAGAUUCUGGGACAUUCCAAAAACAAGCCUUAGGUAAUUCUCCUUCCAGAAGUCGUCUUUACUUUGCCUAUGUGCAUACUACUAAAAAAAAAAAAAAUCUGAUGUGUACACCACAUGACUUCCUUGUACGGAAUAUUAAAUUAUACGCAUUUUUUCUUGCA
Long non-coding RNA from Stegodyphus dumicola, 605 nucleotides. RefSeq lists it as uncharacterized. NCBI's taxonomy places the organism in Eukaryota, Metazoa, Arthropoda, Arachnida, Araneae, Eresidae. The record is from RefSeq and is a predicted model, not a curated record.